This 423-nucleotide ribosomal RNA is filed under the name uncultured bacterium. Its description in RNAcentral is "partial 16S ribosomal RNA". It matches the Rfam family "Bacterial small subunit ribosomal RNA", at positions 360 to 776 of the family's 1533-position model. The record is from RNAcentral.
AAUUUUGGACAAUGGGCGCAAGCUUAACCAGCCAUUCCGCGUGAGUGAAGGAGGCCUUCGGGUUGUAAAGCUCUUUCGGACGGAAAGAAAACGCGCCGGCCAAUACCCUUCGCGGAUGACGGUACCGUCAAUAGAAGCCACGGCUCACCUCGUUCCAGCAGCCGCGGUAAUACGUAGGGUGCGAGCGUUAAUCGGAAUUACUGGGCGUAAAGCGUGCGCAGGCGGUUGAUUAAGACAGGCGUGAAAUCCCCGGGCUUAACCUGGGAACUGCGCUUGUGACUGGUCAGCUAGAGUACGGCAGAGGGGGGUGGAAUUCCACGUGUAGCAGUGAGAUGCGUAGAGAUGUGGAGGAACACCGAUGGCGAAGGCAGCCCCCUGGGCCGAUACUGACGCUCAUGCACGAAAGCGUGGGUAGCAAACAGG